Melozone crissalis (California towhee) is the source of this 678-nucleotide long non-coding RNA. RefSeq lists it as uncharacterized. Lineage: Eukaryota; Metazoa; Chordata; Aves; Passeriformes; Passerellidae. The record is from RefSeq and is a predicted model, not a curated record. The transcript is spliced from 4 exons.
AGGGAUCGGUGAAUUUUAACUUUGGAGUCCUCUAUGCUAAGGAUGCUCAGCCUGCAGAUGAUGAAAUGUUCAGUAAUGUAUUUGCUGCAGCUCUGCUUACCCAAGCUUUGGGUUCCUUCUGUCCCACAGGGAGUUGCCCUGUUUGGUUGCAUCUGGUGAAAUUCACCCUGAGACCUUACAGAAGUAGCUCAAACUACGUGAGAGCCAUUUGCAGUUCCCUCCACACACCUGGAGAAUGGGUGACGUUUCUGAGGAUGUGGCAACUGUACUUCUAUCAAAACUCAGUCUGUGAAAUUUCUGGGGAAAACUCUUCGGUGACCUGAAGGGUUCAAACUCUGGGAAAGACUCUCGUAUCCUUGUCUUCAGGCUCGGUGCUGUCCACGAAGAUACGGAGACUAAAAAAAUCAUAAGAAGCAAAAUAUGACUGCAGGGAAAACAAGCUGGAGAGAACAAAAGACUCAUCACGGCGGGACAGCGUGAAGACUGAAAGUGUGAGAAGAUGUGGAGGGGAAGAGAGAAUCUGACGGGAGCAGCGAACGCACGAGUGCACGAAUUUUGCUUUUUGCUUGGAUGUAAACUCAGGAGUUGAAAGGAAUUUGGGAGUGAGAAGGGACAUUUCAGAAGGAGAAGAAGAAAAAGAGGUUGUUGUUGUUGUUACAGUCCUGGCAAAAUCUUUUG